AACGAUGCCGCGUGCAGGAAGAAGGCCUUCGGGUUGUAAACUGCUUUAGUACGGAACGAAACGGUGAUCUCUAAUACAGAUUGCUAAUGACGGUACCGUAAGAAUAAGCACCGGCUAACUACGUGCCAGCAGCCGCGGUAAUACGUAGGGUGCGAGCGUUAAUCGGAAUUACUGGGCGUAAAGCGUGCGCAGGCGGUUUUGUAAGACAGACGUGAAAUCCCCGGGCUCAACCUGGGAAUGGCGUUUGUGACUGCAAGGCUGGAGUGCGGCAGAGGGGGAUGGAAUUCCGCGUGUAGCAGUGAAAUGCGUAGAUAUGCGGAGGAACACCGAUGGCGAAGGCAAUCCCCUGGGCCUGCACUGACGCUCAUGCACGAAAGCGUGGGGAGCAAACAGGAUUAGAUACCCUGGUAGUCCACGCCCUAAACGAUGUCAACUGGUUGUUGGGUCUUCACUNACUCAGUAACAAACUUACCCGUUAAGUUGAACGGCUGGGGAAUACGGGCGCAAGUUGAAACUCAAA
This 520-nucleotide ribosomal RNA is filed under the name uncultured prokaryote. RNAcentral's name for it is "bacterial SSU rRNA". It matches the Rfam family "Bacterial small subunit ribosomal RNA", at positions 390 to 905 of the family's 1533-position model. The record is from RNAcentral.